GUCUACUACACCUGUUGUAUUCAGCAUUUCACUGUAAGGUCUACUACACCUGUUGUAUUCAGCAUUUCACUGUAAGGUCUACUACACCUGCUGUAUUCAGCAUUUCACUGUAAGGUCUACCUACACCAGUUGUAUUCAGCAUUUCACUGUAAGGUCUACCUACACCAGUUGUAUUCAGCAUUUCACUGUAAGGUCUACCUACACCUGUUGUAUUCAGCAUUUCACUGUAAGGUCUACUACACCUGUUGUAUUCAGCAUUUCACUGUAAGGUCUACCUACACCAGUUGUAUUUAGCAUUUCACUGUAAGGUCUACUACACCUGUUGUAUUCAGCAUUUCACUGUAAGGUCUACUACACCUGUUGUAUUCAGCAUUUCACUGUAAGGUCUAC
This is a long non-coding RNA of Oncorhynchus tshawytscha (Chinook salmon), 390 nucleotides long. The record is from Ensembl. Lineage: Eukaryota; Metazoa; Chordata; Actinopteri; Salmoniformes; Salmonidae.